GGCGGCCGCCUCACAUUCCCCCCCUCUCCCCCCCCUCUCAUCCUCCUCCCUCAGCCCUGGGGCGGCGGGACCGGGACCUGGGAUCGGCGGGACUGGGCCUUGAGGAACCUCUGGAACCCAAACCUCAUCUUCUCCUGAGCCACAAACCACAAAACCACCAGCUUCCAGCCAUCAGCUAGCCCACAGAAAUCUUGAGUGAAAACGUGUCAAACUCUAGAUGUGAUAUACAAGGACAGCUCCACAGUUAUCAAGGAGAGAGUCCUCACAUACAUGAGAUGAGGAUGGAGGUGAAGUGUUGGUCACACGAAUUCCAGGAAGAAUCUCUUCUCUCUCCUCCUGGAUCCACAAAGCAAGAGUUAGGAAUCUGGUGGGGAAAAGCCCACCACCAGAACUCGUAUGAUUUUACAGUUAUACCCCUGCUCAGAAGUUGUCAUUCUUCUGCCAGAAGUUGUCAUUUUCCACUUCAGCUUAAGGCUGAAACUACCUGGUGAUCUUAUAAGUGCUGGUGUAGCUCAGUGAUUGCAGUUAUUUUAGAGUCAGUUACACCAUUGUGCUGCAGGAGAUCAGGAUGCAGCUCAAAACCUCUUCCUAGCAGUUCUGAAAAGUCAAAAUCAGACUUUGUCUGAUCUGUCAAGGGGAAGCUCAUUUUCUCUCCCAUUGGCCCUCACACAAUCAGGACUCAGAUGGCUACCAUGGUUUUCCUUUUCAGAGACUCCUGAACUGGCAGCACCAUCUGAUGUAGCAGAGUUCAAGAAGAGAGGCUCUUGAGAGGGUCAUGACAGUGCCAUGGCAGGGCAUGAUGACCUAGAAAGCUUUGAAGAUGUCUGCUACAGAGCUCUUGCUGCUGCCUUGUUUGGUGAGGCAGAGUUCGCUCUUUGUGCUCCCAUGCACCAUCCUGAAGAAUGAUCUCCCACCCUGCGUUAGCAUCCUGGAUACAUCCACCAAGCUGAGUAACCAGGGUACUGAGACUUCAUCUCUAGCUGGAUCAAAUAUUUGCAAGUUGUUGCUGAGGGUGAAGAGAUACAAUACCUUUAGUUUCCUUGGGUACAUUGCUUUCUUGCCUGUGGUGGCAGGGAUAUAUUUUAGGCUAAGAAUUACAACUCUAACCAGCUGCCUGUGGCCUCCAGAGGUCAGCAUAGCACUUGAGAAGGGCAAGAUCCCAGAGCUCUCAAGCUCUACUUUUCAAGCGUGAUCUCAUAAUUAAGUUUCCCAACUUCACUGGUAACAAAUGUAAAGCCCCUGACACUACUUGUGACAACAAAAGUGAGAGAAGAGAUCUCAGAAUAACCACUGUAAAAUGUAAUUGGCUGAUAGUGUAAGUUGGAUGAGGGAACUCUGAGGUCACAAGUUCAUUGAUAAUAAAUAGAUGUCCAUCUGCUUAGUUUCUGUUCCUUUCCCAUUAGUACUGAUGGGGUGAAAGGAAAUGCCAGGUGUCUUCUGAGUAGUCACUCAGACUUGUUUCAGCUGUGGUAUAAGCUUCAUUUUUUUAAUGUGCUUGAAUACAAGGUGCAGUUCUAGCAGUUCUCAAAAAGAAUAAGGUAGAGCCAGAAAACAUACAGAAAUGAGAAACAGAGAGCAUCAUGGGUGUGAAACAGCUUUCAUAAAAGAAGGAUCUUAAGAAUAUUCAUCUCAGAAAAAAGAAGCUUGUUGGACCUUCCUGCAGGCUGAAAAGGUUUCAUGUGGAGGUUGCUCCCUGCUUGCCUAAACACUCAGUACUUGUCUCUGUGGGAGUAAGAUAUCAAAUGUCCACUUUUGCCUGACUUUUCAAGUACUUCUCAAGCUCUUUGCAUUACUGCAGUGCUAAGAAAUGUCCUUUUGCCUAAGAAGCAAAUGACAGUCAUUGCAGAAAAGGCUCUGAGCUGAAUUCUUUCUAAAUACUAUCAAGUGUUAAUUUGGUCUAGUGAUAUUAUACUGGAUUCAAUAAUCCAGAGCAAAAUCAGGAUGAGCUCCUGUUGUAGGAGACCCUAAUCUUACAUGAUCUCUGAGACCAGAUGGGCUCUGUCUUUGUGGUGAAGUAACUCCCAUAUGUGUUUCUCUGCAGGCCACCAGCCUCAAAACAUCCUCAGGAACACCAAAGAGCUUCAGUGUCACACAACACUAUCUAAUUAUUUCUCCUACAACACUAUCUCAUUUCUCCUUAGCAUAAGGAACUCUACAAGGCUUGUUGAGACCUCUGGUUCUCACAUUACUGCUUUGAAACACAACCUUAAGUGAAUCCAGCAGGCACCAGCUGUAGACAAAGUGUAAAAGCCCUGCUACAAAAAAAGCAACAACAAAAAACCAAACAAACAAUCCAGCCCA
This is a long non-coding RNA of Calypte anna (Anna's hummingbird), 2301 nucleotides long. RefSeq lists it as uncharacterized. The transcript has 3 exons. The record is from RefSeq and is a predicted model, not a curated record. NCBI's taxonomy places the organism in Eukaryota, Metazoa, Chordata, Aves, Apodiformes, Trochilidae.